RNAcentral lists this non-coding RNA (30 nucleotides) under Mus musculus (house mouse). Lineage: Eukaryota; Metazoa; Chordata; Mammalia; Rodentia; Muridae. The record is from RNAcentral.
UGAGGAUUCCACAGCUAUGUAAUCAUUCCA